UACGGAGGGGGCAAACGUUGCUCGGAAUUAUUGGGCGUAAAGCGCACGUAGGCGGUUCGCUAAGUCGGGUGUGAAAGCCCCGGGCUCAACCCGGGAAGUGCAUUCGAAACUGACGAGCUUGAGUACGGAAGAGGGUCUCGGAAUUCCCGGUGUAGAGGUGAAAUUCGUAGAUAUCGGGAGGAACACCAGUGGCGAAGGCGGAGACCUGGGCCGAUACUGACGCUGAGGUGCGAAAUCGUGGGGAGCAAACAGG
Molecule: ribosomal RNA, 253 nt
Filed under: uncultured bacterium
Lineage: Bacteria
Description: partial 16S ribosomal RNA
Rfam family: Bacterial small subunit ribosomal RNA
Source: RNAcentral